This 253-nucleotide ribosomal RNA is filed under the name uncultured bacterium. RNAcentral's name for it is "partial 16S ribosomal RNA". It matches the Rfam family "Bacterial small subunit ribosomal RNA", at positions 524 to 776 of the family's 1533-position model. The record is from RNAcentral.
GACAGAGGGUGCAAACGUUGUUCGGAAUUACUGGGCGUAAAGCGCGUGUAGGCUGCUCUGCAAGUCGGAUGUGAAAGCCCUGGGCUCAACCUAGGAAGUGCAUUCGAAACUGCAGAGCUUGAGUCCUGGAGAGGAAGGCGGAAUUCUCGGUGUAGAGGUGAAAUUCGUAGAUAUCGAGAGGAACACCGGUGGCGAAGGCGGCCUUCUGGACAGUGACUGACGCUGAGACGCGAAAGCGUGGGGAGCAAACAGG